AGUCGUAACAAGGUAACCGCAAGUCGUAACAAGGUAACCGUAGAGUUUGAUCCUGGCUCAGGAAAGUCGUAACAAGGUAACCGUAGAGUUUGAUCAUGGCUCAGCCUUUGACUUAAAUAAAUGGAGAAGUCGCAACAAGGUAACCGUAAGUCGUAACGGGGUAACCGUAGAGUUUGAUCCUGGCUCAGCCUUUGACUUAAAAAAUGGAGAAGUCGUAACAAGGUAACCGU
RNAcentral lists this ribosomal RNA (230 nucleotides) under uncultured bacterium. Its description in RNAcentral is "partial 16S ribosomal RNA". The record is from RNAcentral.